GUCGAACGGAAAGGCCCUUCGGGGUACUCGAGUGGCGAACGGGUGAGUAACACGUGGGUGAUCUGCCCUGCACUUUGGGAUAAGCCUGGGAAACUGGGUCUAAUACCGAAUAUGACCAUGCACUUCCUGGUGUGUGGUGGAAAGCUUUUGCGGUGUGGGAUGGGCCCGCGGCCUAUCAGCUUGUUGGUGGGGUAAUGGCCUACCAAGGCGACGACGGGUAGCCGGCCUGAGAGGGUGACCGGCCACACUGGGACUGAGAUACGGCCCAGACUCCUACGGGAGGCAGCAGUGGGGAAUAUUGCACAAUGGGCGCAAGCCUGAUGCAGCGACGCCGCGUGAGGGAUGACGGCCUUCGGGUUGUAAACCUCUUUCAGCACAGACGAAGCGCAAGUGACGGUAUGUGCAGAAGAAGGACCGGCCAACUACGUGCCAGCAGCCGCGGUAAUACGUAGGGUCCGAGCGUUGUCCGGAAUUACUGGGCGUAAAGAGCUCGUAGGUGGUUUGUCGCGUUGUUCGUGAAAACUCACAGCUUAACUGUGGGCGUGCGGGCGAUACGGGCAGACUUGAGUACUGCAGGGGAGACUGGAAUUCCUGGUGUAGCGGUGGAAUGCGCAGAUAUCAGGAGGAACACCGGUGGCGAAGGCGGGUCUCUGGGCAGUAACUGACGCUGAGGAGCGAAAGCGUGGGGAGCGAACAGGAUUAGAUACCCUGGUAGUCCACGCCGUAAACGGUGGGUACUAGGUGUGGGUUUCCUUCCUUGGGAUCCGUGCCGUAGCUAACGCAUUAAGUACCCCGCCUGGGGAGUACGGCCGCAAGGCUAAAACUCAAAGAAAUUGACGGGGGCCCGCACAAGCGGCGGAGCAUGUGGAUUAAUUCGAUGCAACGCGAAGAACCUUACCUGGGUUUGACAUGCACAGGACGCUGGUAGAGAUAUCAGUUCCCUUGUGGCCUGUGUGCAGGUGGUGCAUGGCUGUCGUCAGCUCGUGUCGUGAGAUGUUGGGUUAAGUCCCGCAACGAGCGCAACCCUUGUCCUAUGUUGCCAGCGGGUUAUGCCGGGGACUCGUAGGAGACUGCCGGGGUCAACUCGGAGGAA
RNAcentral lists this ribosomal RNA (1093 nucleotides) under Mycolicibacterium frederiksbergense. RNAcentral's name for it is "bacterial SSU rRNA". It matches the Rfam family "Bacterial small subunit ribosomal RNA", at positions 61 to 1171 of the family's 1533-position model. The record is from RNAcentral. Lineage: Bacteria; Bacillati; Actinomycetota; Actinomycetes; Mycobacteriales; Mycobacteriaceae.